GACGAAAGCGGGCGGCGUGCUUAACACAUGCCAGUCGAACGGAAAGGCCCUACUUUUGUGGGGUGCUCGAGUGGCGAACGGGUGAGUAACACGUGAGUAAUCUGCCCUUCACUUUGGGAUAACUUCAGGAAACUGGGUCUAAUACUGGAUAUGAGCUCUUUCUGCAUGGUGUGGGUUGGAAAGUUUCUGCGUUUGGGGAUGGACUGGCGGCUUAUCAGCUUGUUGGUGGGGUAGUGGCUUACCAAGGCUUUGACGGGUAGCCGGCCUGAGAGGGUGACCGGCCACAUUGGGACUGAGAUACGGCCCAGACUCCUACGGGAGGCAGCAGUGGGGAAUAUUGCACAAUGGGCGGAAGCCUGAUGCAGCAACGCCGCGUGCGGGAUGACGGCCUUCGGGUUGUAAACCGCUUUCGGCUGGGACGAAGCGUGAGUGACGGUAAUGGGUAAAGAAGCACCGGCUAACUACGUG
This 468-nucleotide ribosomal RNA is filed under the name uncultured bacterium. RNAcentral describes it as "partial 16S ribosomal RNA". It matches the Rfam family "Bacterial small subunit ribosomal RNA", at positions 28 to 507 of the family's 1533-position model. The record is from RNAcentral.